This 492-nucleotide ribosomal RNA is filed under the name uncultured bacterium. RNAcentral describes it as "partial 16S ribosomal RNA". It matches the Rfam family "Bacterial small subunit ribosomal RNA", at positions 29 to 507 of the family's 1533-position model. The record is from RNAcentral.
AGUGAACGCUGGCGGUAGGCCUAACACAUGCAAGUCGAACGGCAGCACAGUAAGAGCUUGCUCUUACGGGUGGCGAGUGGCGGACGGGUGAGGAAUACAUCGGAAUCUACUUUUUCGUGGGGGAUAACGUAGGGAAACUUACGCUAAUACCGCAUACGACCUACGGGUGAAAUCAGGGGAUCUUCGGACCUUGCGCGUUUGAAUGAGCCGAUGUCGGAUUAGCUAGUUGGCGGGGUAAAGGCCCACCAAGGCGACGAUCCGUUGCUUGUCUGAGAGGAUGAUCAGCCACACUGGAACUGAGACACGGUCCAGACUCCUACGGGAGGCAGCAGUGGGGAAUAUUGGACAAUGGGCGCAAGCCUGAUCCAGCAAUACCGCGUGGGUGAAGAAGGCCUUCGGGUUGUAAAGCCCUUUUGUUGGGAAAGAAAAGCAGCAGGUUAAUACCCCGCUGUUCUGACGGUACCCAAAGAAUAAGCACCGGCUAACUUCGUG